AGUUCACAGGUGAUCAAAGGAUUCACUGCUCACUGGAUUCAAGUCGUUCAGAUGAGAUGAGUUCAGAGAAACUGUUCUCCACAAAACAGCUGGAUAUGAA
This is a long non-coding RNA of Anguilla anguilla (European eel), 100 nucleotides long. RefSeq lists it as uncharacterized. Lineage: Eukaryota; Metazoa; Chordata; Actinopteri; Anguilliformes; Anguillidae. The record is from RefSeq and is a predicted model, not a curated record. The transcript is spliced from 3 exons.